Molecule: long non-coding RNA, 20282 nt
Filed under: Vitis vinifera (wine grape)
Lineage: Eukaryota; Viridiplantae; Streptophyta; Magnoliopsida; Vitales; Vitaceae
Description: long non-coding RNA (VVIN_LNC001943)
Source: RNAcentral
CUAGAGAUAUGCAGACAGUUAGCUUCUAAUAGAGUCAUGGUGGUAUUAACAGCUAGAGAUGAGAAGAGGGGUCUUGAAGCUGUGGCAAAGCUUCACGAAUCUAGCCUGUCUAAUGUAGUUUUCAUCAGCUUGAUGUGAUGGAUGCCAAUAGUAUCACUUCCUUGGAAAAAUUCAUUGUAACCCAUCAUGGGAAGCUUGAUAUUUUAGCAAGGAAUCGAGCAUUUUGUGAGGAGCAUUUUUUUACUCAUUUUUCUUCUGCUAGGGGAAAAAAGGGAAAAAAAUCUUGGGGAUUUGAGAGUUUGAGAUUAGUAUGAUACCUCACUUACAGGGCUUUGAAAAUUUUAUACCUCAAUAAGGAAGAAAAGCAAAAACAUUUUAAUCAUGUAGGGAAACAUUUCUUGUUGCCUUACUUCAUCUUACCAUGAUAAGAACAAUAAAAGCAAAUUUAAGAAUACAAGAAAAUCGAAAUCAGGUAAGCUGCCAUUCAUUUGGAGUGAGUGCAAGCCAGGUGAGAAUAAAUAUAACAGCAAUAUAAAGAGAAUCAGAGGGAUUCCAAAUUGAUCAGCAAUAUGAAAUCAAAAUUUUAUGCAGGUGAGUAAUGCAGGGGUUAGUGGAGCCAUUGUCGACUGGGAAGCAAUUAAGACCUUAAAACUUGAGGACGGUAAGGUAUGUAAUUACAUGCUCUUGAAAACUCAUCACCAGGAACACUAAGCUCAUCUCAAUGUCUAUCAAAGAUAUAUUGCAAUGGAUAAAUUUAAAGAGUCAGAUAUCAUCAAUGAUUGAAUAUUGCUUCACUGAUGCAGAAUAAUACUAAUGUAGCUGAAUUGCUGAAUAAAGCCUCAAAGCAAACUUAUGGGUUGGCUGAAGAAUGUGUAAAAACAAACUGCUAUGGCACCAAAGGGGUGACUGAGGCCCUUCUUCGAUGCCUUCUGCUAUCAAAUUCAGGAAGAAUUGUGAACGUGUCUGGAGGUCUUGGAAAACUUCAGGUAUGUAAAUGUAAUUGCACCUUCACGGGGAAAUGAUAAAACCAAAUUCGAACUUUAUAAUGCAUGAGUCAUGUCUAGCAUUUCCAUUAAUCAUAAGAUUAAUGUUGAGUUCUUCCUUAUUUUAUCAGUUUGUCCCCAGUGAAAGGGUUAGAAUGGAGCUAAAUGAUGUUGAUGUACUCUCAAUAGAGACAGUAGAUGAGAUAGUAAAUGAAUUCCUCAAGGAUGUUAAGGAUGACAUGUUACAUGACAAAGGCUGGCCAACUCAGACAUCUGCAUAUACAAUCUCCAAAGCAGCCAUGAAUGCUUACACAAGGAUUGUUGCCAAAUCAUACCCAAGUCUCCUCAUAAAUUGUGUUUGUCCUGGUUUCGUCAAAACCGAUAUGACUUCCAACACUGGUCUCUUCACUGUUGCAGUGGGUGCCAAAGGCCCUGUUAUGUUGGCUUUGCUUCCAGAGGGAGGACCUUCUGGCCUCUUUUUGGAAAAGAUGGAGGCAUCAACCUUUUGAUCAUAAGUCAGUUACAGGAAUGAGUUGGUUUCCGGCUUUAUGUAUUUCCUAUGGUUGUAUUUGUAAGGUUAUCCAACUUUUCCUAUUGCUUUGCUGAGACAACGGGGUAAUGAAUGUGAAGCUUCUCUUGUAUUCAGAGUUAUAAUCAUGAACUUUAGCUGUCUGUGACAAUUGAUAAUCCUUUUAAAAGUAGGAACUAGGAAACCAGUCUCAUUUCAAUAUAUGCAAAUUAAUUCUUAUUUAAUAAAGAAAUUCCACGGGAUAGGACAUGGGAUUGGAAGCUCAAUUUGAACUGGCAUUCAGGUAUUUCAUCUAAUUUCUUUAAUGGUUAUCCGCUCUUGUAAGAAAUUGUUCAGUUCUCCGCAUUUCUAUCACUUACAACUUGUUUCUCUCUGCUGGCUUAAGGAAGUAGAGGACAGAGCAGGUGAAUCAUUACCUAAAGCUCAUGAUGCCAACAAAGUUUUGCAAUCUCAACAGAAGACGUCCUGCCAGAAGUCAAUGUAGUCACAAGAAUCUACAAUAACUCAAUAGAAUAUUUGGUGUCCCCUUGUCGGGAAGGUUGUGUUUGCAGCCAGCUAUUUGAAAGUAAUAUGACAAACUCCAAUCAAUUGGAAUAUGAAAUUUGACUCUCAAAGGAAAAUAUUAUCUUUCUCAUGCACUCUUGGUUGACACCAUUUUAUGUUCUUAAAUUGCCCCUCUUUGCCUUCAUGUUAGCUAUAAUCUUGUCUCCAUAUCAGCAGCAAGCCCCCUCCGUGUCACAGGAGAGAUUGAAAAUUUUAAAAACAAAAAAAUCUGAAUUUGAAACUCAUGAAAAAUCACCCGACUCGACAAUCGACAAUCGACUAUUAUUUCUCUAAUUUGAAACUUUUCUUCUAUUUGAUUUGGGAACAUUUCUCUCUCUCUCUCUUGGUUUCAUCACCCACACAAUCUCAAGAUCCAUCUAAAAUUUCCCAAAAAUGGUCUCAUUUGAGAGAAAAAAAAUCAUUAAUUCAAAACUACAACCUAUGUGUUUCUCUCUUGUCCAGGUAAAAUUGCAACAAAAUGGAUCAUUCCAUCUUAAGAAUGUUCGAUUAAAAGACAACUUCAAGAGACACAUAUGUGAUUGUGAAUUUACUACAACAACGUGUACUCGAACGAAAAGGUAAAAUCCAAAAUAUUGGGUUCAUUAACAAGAUAUCUCUUCUUGUCAUUGAGUCGCAUUUUACCCUAACCCCAAAUUGAAAUUUGAAGGUAAAUAAUUUUUAUUUAUUGUUCUUUUAGUUCAUUUGUUUGAAACCAAUUAGAGAGAAGAAAAGUUUCAUAUUAGGGAAAUAACAGCCGAUCGGGUGAUUUUUCGUAUAUUUCAAAUUCAGAUUUUUCUAUUUUUAAAAUUUUAAGUUUCUCAUGUGACAUGGAUGGCUUGCUGCUGAUAUAGUGAAGGCAAGGAGGGGCAAUCUAGGAACAUAAAACGGAGUCAGCAAAGAUUCCACGAUAAAGAUAAUAUUUUACUUUUGACGGUCAAGUCUCAUAUUACAGCUUAGUGAAUUUGAUUGUCAUGUCACUUUCAAAUAGUUGGCUGCGAACUCAACUUUCCCUUGCAUUUAAAACAAUGAAUAUAUCGAUUGAUAAUGGCCUUUAAAACGAUGACAUUGUCGGCCCUGCAAUGAAAUCCCCAACGCUCAAACACCACCAAGCCACCUACGGAUAGAGAGAGAGAGAGUGGGGAACUUAGCAAAAGCAGAGAGCUUCCUCUGCAACCCACGCCCACGCCCACGCCCACGCCGGUGACACUAUGGAGACGAAGUAGAGAGAUGAGAUACCAGCACCCAAGAUCGUCGCCAAUGUAGGAGGAGGGAUCCACGAAGGUGUUGCUGUCCACCCCGUGGUGAGGUUAGCAAAGAAAUGCCCUUAACCUCCUCUUCUCAGACACCUCAAAGACAAUCACGGCUUGGACUAAAAAACUUUUCAAAGACUUCAUCGGGGUCAUCUUUUUCAUCACGGGUCUUCAAUCAUGGGUCGUGAUUCUAGUCAAAAAAUUUUCCUUUUGAAGAGUUAUUGAUUUUUCAAAAAUUUGUCAGUUUGUUGUUUUGGUCUCUCUCUCUCUCUCUCUCUCUCAGUUUUGGGUGCUGUUUUGCUGUGAUUUGAAAGGAAAUUUGUUUGUUUAGAGUUUACCUCAAAAAAGUUUCGGUAACUCGGAUGAUUCGCCCGAGUGAACUCGGUAUCUCGACCGAAUCAACUGAGUUUAACCGAUUCCUGGCCGAAGAUGGUAUCGGGUAUCGGACUCGGCGCGGAACCAUGCAGCAUUGACUAUCAUGGUUGGGAAAUUAUUCAGUUUUUGCCUUUAGGUAUUAUAUUCUUACUGGUCAGGUCAGAUGUUUGGGGUCACAUUAUAUAGUCAUGCCCAGAUCCCGUAUUUCAAACAAGAAUCUGCUGCGGAAACUUGCAGAAGAUUCUUUUUGGAUUUGAUAAUUUUAAACAUUUGGCUUGGGGCUUGGAUUAUUCUGCUCAAAAUCUUCAAUAAGACAAAAACUUUUGAAGAAACUAUAAAGAAUAUUCAAAUUGCAUGGCGAAAUUCCUAUAAAAACUAUGCUUUUGUACAUACCUAUAUAUAGAUGACCAUGUCCCAAGAUGUCCAUAUAAAAUUAUGUCUGAGUUGGUAUUGAUCUUGUCAACGUCCAACUUUACUAUAUCUUAUAUUAAGCUUAUAUAGCAAUCAUCAUCAAAUGAAAUUAAUUAGAAAUACAAUAAAAUUGCCCGACAGAGGCCUAUUCAAAGGUGGAAUGAAGAUUGUAUAAUUUGUAUUGGUUGAUUUUGUAGAGGGGUGAGAAUCACUCUGUGCUGGAGAUCACCAUUUACAAGAAGGUUUGCAUUAAAGGGUACCUGGAUAAGUGUUCAGUUAAACCUAGCAUUCCUCUUCUGAUCCAAAAGAAAAUGGCAUCAACCACCUCAGAUUCAACAACAAUGAGGUAUGGCCUUUUUUUAAGCUACUAGUUGUAGACUGCAACUCAUAGCUGUUGAGAAUAAAAAGCAGUAGCAUAUUCUUAAUUACUAUUUAUUUUUGGUUUUCAGAUAUGCAGUUGUAACUGGAGCAAGUAAAGGAAUUGGACUAGAGAUAUGCAGACAGUUAGCUUCUAAUGGAGUCAUGGUGGUAUUAACAGCUAGAGAUGAGAAGAGGGGUCUUGAAGCUGUGGCAAAGCUUCACGAAUCUAGCCUGUCUAAUGUAGUUUUUCAUCAGCUUGAUGUGAUGGAUGCCAAUAGUAUCACUUCCUUGGCAACAUUCAUUGUGACCCGUUAUGGGAAGCUCGAUAUUUUAGUAAGGAAUCAACCCUUUUUGGAAGGACAUUUUUUACCCAUUUUCCUUCUGCUAGGGAAGAAAAAAAAUACACCUUGGGGAUUUGGGAGCUUGAGAUUAGUAUGAUACCUCACUUAGAGGGCUCUGAAAAAUUUAUACCUCAAUCAGGAAGACAAGCAAAAACAUUUUAAUCAUGUAGAGAAACAUUUCUUGUUGCAUUACUUCAUCUUACUGUGAUAAGAACAGUAAAAGCAAAUUUAAGAAUAAAACAAAUGGAAAUCAGAUAAGCUGCAAUUUAUUUGGAGUGAUUGCAAGCCAAGUGAGUAUAAAUACGAUAGCAAUAUUAGGAGAAUCAGAUGGAUUCUAAGUUGAUCCGCAAUAUGAAAUCAAAAUUUUAUGCAGGUUAAUAAUGCAGGGGUUACUGGAGCUAUUGUCGACUGGGAAUCAAUUGGGACAGCAAUUAAGACCUUAAAGCCUGAGGAUGGUAAGGUAUGUAAGUACAUGCUCUUGAAAACUCAUUACUAGGAAGUCUAAGCUCUUUCUCAAUGUCUAUCAACCAUAUAUUGAAAUGAAUAGUUUUGUAGUUUCAUUUCUAAGUUUAAAGAGGACAGAGUCAGAUAGUAUCAAUGACUGAAUAUUGUUUCACUCUUGCAGAAUAAUGCUGAUCUAGCUGAAUUGUUGCAUAAAGGCAUGAAGCAAACUUAUGAGUUGGCAGAAGAAUGUGUAAAAACAAACUACUAUGGCACCAAAGGAGUGACUGAGGCCCUUUUUCCAUGCCUUCUGCUAUCAAAUUCAGGAAGAAUUGUGAAUGUGUCUUCAGGUCUUGGAAGCCUUAAGGUAUGUAAAUGUAAUUGCACCUUCAAGGGGAAAUUCUAAAACCAAAUUCAAAGUUUAUAAUGCACUAGUCCUGUGUAGCAUUUCCAUUAAUCAUAAGAUUAAUGUUGAGCUCUUCCUUAUUUUAUCAGUUUGUCUCCAAUGAAAGGGUCAGAAUGGAGCUAAAUGAUGUUGAUGUACUCUCAGUAGAGAGAUUAGAUGAGAUAGUGAAUGAAUUCCUCAAUGAUGUUAAGGAGAACACGUUACAUGACAAAGGCUGGCCUACUCAGACAUCUGCAUAUACAAUCUCCAAAGCAGCCAUGAAUGCUUACACAAGGAUUGUUGCCAAAUCAUACCCAAGUCUCCUCAUAAAUUGUGUCUGUCCUGGUUUCAUCAAAACCGAUAUGACUUCCAACACUGGUUUCUUUACUGUUGAAGUGGGUGCCAAAGGCCCUGUUAUGUUGGCUUUGCUUCCAGUGGGAGGACCUUCUGGCCUCUUUUUCCAAAAGAUGGAGGCAUCAACCUUUUGAUAAGUCAGUUAAGAAUGAGUUGGUUUUCUGCUUUAUGUAUUUCCUAUGGUUGUAUUUGUAAGGUUAUCCAACUUUUCCUAUGCUUUGCUGAGACAAUUGGGUGAUAGAUGUGAAGUUUCUCUCGUAUUCGGUGUUAUAAUUAUGAACUUUAGCUCUGUUUGUGACAAUUGAUAAUAUUUUUAUAAGUAGGAACUAGGAAAAACCAGUCUCAUUCUUACUUUGGAAUGUUCAUGUGUUAUUUAUCUCAUCAUAUGCAAAUUAAUUCUUAUUUGAUAAAGAGAUUCCACGGUGUUGAGUUUUUAUCUAAGUUCCUCAAUGAAUUGAGAUCGAACACCAAUCCAAGACAAAGAAAACAAUACCAAAAAUCAAAACAUAACAAAAAAAAAACAAAAAACAAAAAACAAGCAGGAUUUAUGUGGUUCAGAUCCAAGAUUGAAUUCUACAUCCAUAGAUUAAGAUCACCUCCAAAAAUCCAUUAAGAUUGAACCAGUUUACACCCUCAAGAACCUCUGAGAAUCAUCAAGCUCUCACUACAGUACAAAGAAAAAGACUCGCAUUCUGAAAUCCUCACUUCUUUUCUUCAAUUCAGAAACUCUUUUUUUUUUUUUUUUUCCUCUCACACCUUUAUACAAUGAGAUAUCUCUCAUAUACAUGAGUACAUGAAAAAUAUGCUAAGCAAAACAGGUGUGCGAGCUUACACUUUCAGUUAGUUAAUCAACUAACUCUACUUACGUGGCCAAUCAAUUUUGGACCACCAAUUUCCUCAUUCUCCACCUUGGUUCAUAAUUGAUUUUGGAUUCUUCGGAUGAUGAAUUUGAUCUGACUUAAUCAUUAGUUGCACACGAUUUAGACCAAAUCCGGGCAAUACCUGAAUUUGCUUACCGGUACAACUUUAGUUGCCAUGUCUUGUAGAUUAUCAAUUGCGGAAAUCUUCGCCAACUUCACUGUUCCUGAGCUUACCACUUCUCUAAUGAAGUGAUAUCUAAUAUCAACAUGUUUGAUCCUUUCAGGAAACAUGGGGUUUUUACAUAGCUGAAUUGCACUCUGGCUGUCUGAAAAUAUUUCCACUACACUAUUCAGCACUCCAAGCUCCUUGACAAGUCCUUGCAACCAAAGAGCUUCUUUCAUGGCUUUAGUAACUACUAUAUAUUCAGCUCCAGUGGUUGAAAGUGCUACUAUUGAUUGUAGCUGUGACUUCCAGUUGACAGGUCCUCCAAAUAAAGUGAAAUAUAACUAGUAGUUAACCUUCUUUUAUCAAGAUCCCUUGCAUAAUUUGAAUCCACAUAAUGUGUGAUACCAACACCUUCUUUAGAAGAUCCAAACUUCAAUCUUACCCAAGAGAUUCCCUCACAUAUCGUAGUAGCCAUUUAACUCCAUUCCAAUUUUCCUUACCUGGGUAAGCCAUAAACCUGCUCAAAACACUUAAUGAGCUAUAUCUGGUCGUGAGCAUACCACUGCAUACAUGAGUGACCUUGUAGCAUUAGCAUAUGGGACAUAAUUCAUUUCUUUUCUUUCAUCUUUAGAUUGAGGACAUUGUGUGAUGUAGGACAACCCUAAGAUGGUUGCCUACACUCAAGGGUAAGUGGACUAGGAUUUUAUUUUUAGGGUGUAAGGAGAGGAACAAGGAAUAAAUUUUAUGGUAGAGAAAAUUAUAAUAUAAUAAAUAAAGAGAAAGAAGAAACAAUGAAGAAAAGAUAGAAAACCUUAGAGUCUCACUAAAGCCUUCUAGGAGUCUCACCUAGAAGAAAAUCAAUGGAGUCUCACCAUUGAGGGUUGCAACCUUGCAAUGAAAGAAAAUAUAAUAUUAUUCAUAUCAAUUCAGUCAUUUGAUUUACAUUGAUUAAUCUAUUUAUAGGCUUCUUUAAGAAAUUCAAAGUUUACUAGGACUCUAAUAACCUAUUAUGAUUUUAAUUCUAAUUAUAACAUCUAAAGUCUACUAGGACUCUAAUAACCUAUCAUGACUCAAAUUCUAAUUAUAUUAUAACUCAACUAGCUAAUCCUAAUUAGAUUUCAACAAAUACCAAUCCCAAUUCAAUUCUAAUUAAUAUUAAUUCUACUUAAAGUUUACUUAGGUCUUCACUUUUUUCCUUAAAUAAACUUUAAAAGGUUUUCCCCCACCAAUUCUCCCCGGCUUGAAAGAACUCGGCUUCGACAAGUUAGAUGCUUGAUACAAUUCAUAGAGAUCGGGGUUAAGCUUCUGAAAAUCCGUUGUCGCAAUCCAUUUAUUCUCAGAGUGUGGUUUGCCUUGCCAUUUCACCAAAAAAUUUUGAUAUCCACCUUGUCGAGUAGACAUAAGUUGAUCAUCAAGAACAUACUCGAUCUCAGGACGUGGGCUAAGAGUAGGUGGUAAUUGAAGAUCCAACUCUUCACUUACAUCGUUGUGAUGGCCAUGGUAGAUAUACAAAUCUUCCACAUUAAAUAUUGGACUAAAAUGCAAGUUUGAAGGGAGCUCUAACAAAUAAGCAUUCUCACCCAACCGCUUUAGUACUCGAAAUGGACCCAUUUUCUUAGCUUGAAGCUUUUGAUAUGUGCUCGAAUGAAAUCUUUCUGGCCAUAGACGAACCAUCACUAGAUCACCUUCUUGAAACUGAAUAUAUCUUCGAUGUGCAUUUGUUGCCUCUUUAUAGUUCUCAUUGCUGAUUUUGAUUUUUUCUCGUACCUUUUCAUGUAUAUCUCAUAUAUGACGUGCAAAUGCAUCACCAUCUUGGCUAGUGCAGAUAGAAGUAGGCAAUGGUAAAAGAUCAAUAGGUUGCUUAGGUUUCAACCCAUAUGCCACUUCAAAAGGUGAGUACCCAGUAGUACGAUUAGUGGAGCUGUUGAAAGCAAAUUCGGCUUGUGGUAAGACAUUGUCCCAAUUUCUCAACUGAUCUCUCACAGUGCAUCUCAAAAGAUUACCAAGGCUGUGAUUGACAACUUUUAUUUGUCCAUCAGUUUGAGGAUGAAAAUAAUUUGAAAACUUUAAUUGAGUACCUAGCUUGGCCCACAAGGUUUUCCAAAAAUAACUUAGAAACUUGACAUUGCGAUCAGAAACAAUGGAUUGUGGUAAUCCAUGCAAUCGAACUGCUUCUUUAAAGAACAAGGCAGCAACAUAAGAAACAUCUGAAGCCUUCUUACAUGGGAUAAAAUGUGCCAUUUUGGAAAAUCUAUCAACCACAACAAAUAUAGAAUCAAAGCCCCGUUGUGUCCUUGGUAAUCCAAGUACAAAAUCCAUGGUCAAGUCUUCCCAAGGUUCGGAUGGAAUUGGUAACGGUGCAUAUAACCCUGUAUUUUGCUUUGAAUCCUUUCCUACUUGACAUGCUCGACAUUGUUUGAUAACCUUCCAAACAUCCUUCUUUAAACUAGGCCAAAAAAAGCGAUCUUCCACCAAAGCAAUGGUCUUAUCUCGUUCAAAAUGUUUACCCAUUCCGCCUCCAUGAAGUUCCCAUAUGACAUGAUCACGUAGGGAAGUCCUUGGUGAGUAUAAACGAUUUUUAUAAAACAAGUACCCUUCUAAAAUUUGGAAAUCAAUACGUGUUGCUUUUGAACCACUCAAAAGAGAGGAAUGAACAUCUCCAAAAUCAGCAUAAUUGUCAUAGCAAUGCUCUAAUUCUUCAAAUCCAAUUGUAGUGGCUAACAUGUUUACUAAGAGAAGGGCCUUCCUACUAAGGGCAUUGGCUACUUUAUUUUCAAUUCUUGCACAAUGCUUUAAAUUAAAGGCAAACAACUGAAGAAAACUACUCCAUUUUGCAUGUUGAGAGUUAAGCUUCUUUUGAGAAUUAAGAUAUUGCAAGACUUUAUGAGCUGAAUACAAAACAAAUUCCUUAUAACUGAGAUAAUGUUGUCAAUGCCUAAUUGCUUGCACCACCCCAUAGAAUUCAAGAUCAUAUGUGGAGUAUUUUUUUUCUUUGCCCCAUUGAACUUCUCACUAAAGAAAGCCACAGGAUGUCCCUCUUGGCUAAGAACUGCUCCAAUUCCCACAUGGGAAGCAUCACAGGCCACCUCAAAUACUUUCUCAAAGUCUGGUAGACGUAGGAUAGAAAGGUUCACCAUCUUGGAUUUGAUUUCUUCAAAUGCCUUGUUGGUCGCCUUAGUCCAAAUAAAUAAACCAGGUUUCACGCAUUUAGUAAUUGGGACCAUAAUAGAGCUGAAAUUUCAAAUAAAUCGUCUAUAAAAUGUAGCCAUUCCAUAGAAGCUUCGCACCUCAUGGAUAUUUGUUGGUACUGGCCAAUCAACAAUAGCUUUAAUCUUCUUCGGAUCUGUUUCAACACCCUUAGAAGACACAACAAAGCCAAGAAAUACAACACUAGGGCUCAUGAAAGUACGUUUUUUCAAAUUAAUGUAAAAAUUUUCAACCUUAAGAGUGUGCAUUACUUGCUUCAAGUGUUCUUCAUGAUCUUCACAAAAUCGACUAUAGAUAAGAAUAUCAUCAAAAUAGACAACAACAUAACCCGCAUGAAGGUACUUGAAGCAUUGGUUAGUCCAAACGGCAUGACUAAUCACUCAUACAAUCCAUUCUUAGUUUUGAAAGAUGUCUUCCAUUCAUCCCCUUGUCUAAUACAUAUUUGAUGAUAUCCACUUCUUAGAUCAAUCUUUGAGAAGAUUACUGAUCCAACCAUCAUAUCUAGCAUGUCAUCAAGUCUUGGAAUUGGAAAUCGAUACUUGAUUGUGAUUUUGUUGAUUGCACGACUAUCCACACACAUCCACCAGGAUCCAUUAUUCUUUGGUGUUUGUAGGGCAGGAACUCCACAAGGACUUAGGCUUUCACGAAUAAAGCCUCUAGUAAGUAAUUCAUCAACUUGCCUUUUCAAUUCAGCAUGCUUUGUUGGAUUCAUUCUGUAGGCUGGUAAAUUUGGUAAUGAUGCAUCGGGAAUCAAAUCAAUGGCAUGUUGUAUGUCACGCAUAGGAGGGAGUUGAUUAGGUAACUCUGCAGGCCACAAGUCAGAAAAGUCAUCAAGGAUUUUACGUACGUUUGUAGGAUAUUCCUUAUCUUGUUCUUUAAAUUCUUCCACUUUCCGAGCCAUCAAAGCAAAAAUAACUUUAGUUUCCUUGCUCUCAUUUUCAAAUUGACACAUAGUAAGUACCUUUUUUGGUUGUGCAUUCUCCUCCGACUUCUUAAUUGGAGGGACUUCUUUUAUUGGACGAAGGAUCUUCUUACGUCCGUUGUGUAUGAGAGCAUAUAUAUUUUCAUAGCUAUCAUGUUGAACUCUUCUAUCAAAGAGCCAAGGUCUUCCAAGUAAAAUAUGACUUACUUUAAUGGGUAAGACCUUACACCGUACAGACUCUUCAAAGUCCUUACCAAAAAGGAAUGUUACUAAGCAGUGAAAACUUAUCGGGAUAGAGGUGUCAUUAACCCAUGCUACUUUGAAUGGAUUUGGAUGUCUCUCUGUUUUAAGGUUUAGCUUCUCAACAAGUUCUUGUGAAGCUAUCUUCAAACUGCUACCCCCAUCAAUGAUUAUGGUGCAUAAUCUCCCUUGACAAGAAAUACGUGUUUGGAAAAUGCUAGCAUGUCGCCAAUCUUCUUCUCGUUGGGACAAUUAAUAAAGGUCGUACUACAAGACUAUGUCCUUCCGUCAUACCAUCAUAGUAGUCACAUUCUUCACUAACUUCAUCUUCAUUGUAGGUCUCUUCUUCCUUUGGGUAACUUUCCAAUUCAGAUUAUGGUUAUUUAACACAAAAGUGUGAACCUUUGGUUAGGCAUACAACAACAUAAUGACCAUGCCCACCACACUUAAAGCAUAAAGGAGUCACGUCUACUUUUCUAUCUCCAAUACUCAUUGAAGUUUUACCCUUAUUACCAUUCUUAUGAGCCACAUUCAAAGUUUGUUGAGUGUUGCCCUCACCAUUCACAUGAUUAGAAGUUUUGAAGUUUGAUGUGCUUAAAGGUUUACUUGUUGUCCUGUUGGAGAAAGUGCUCCCAAUUUGUGAACUUGGAUGCUUGGAAACCCGAAAUUUGAGGCCUUCUUCUAUUUUGAGGGCUAGUUGAUAAACGUCAUCUACGGUAUUAGUGUGUGCAACUAUCAUCUCAAGUUGAAUCUCCAUUCGAAGUCCAACUUUGUAGCGGGUUGCAAGUUGAGCAUCACUUUCCCACACUUGAUUUCGAAUGCUCAAUUCAUGAAAUUCUUCUGUAUAUUCUUCAACGGACUUGGUACCUUGUUUAAGGGAAAACAAUUUUGUAUACAUAAGUUAUUCAUAAUCAAUUGGGAGAAAGUGCUCCUUCAUCUUCAACUUCAUCUCGUCCCAUGUGUCAAUAGGCGGUUGGCCAAUUCUAUGAACUUGAUUCUCAAUAUUAUGCCACCAUAGACGUGCUGCUCCUUUCAACUUUGCUUUCACAAAACGAACUUUUCUAUUUUCAGGCAUUGUAUACCAAUCAAAGUAAUCUUCCAUUGACAUAAUCCAAUCAAGAAAAGCUGUUGGAUUUAGUUUUCCAUAAAAUUCAGCAACUUCAAGACGUACCUUUUUUGUCAUAUCAUCAUCUAGCUCAAAAAGUUUGGCCCUUCUUUGAUUCCCCAUCAUAAAAUUGUCUUGUUCUUCGCGUGAUCGAAUUGGUGAUUGUCUAAAUUAAUGACUUGCGAUCUCCUCUUCAAUUGGUCAUUUUUCUUGACUCUUUUCUAAUAAUUUCAUAAUCUCAUCAAGUUUGCUAUUUAGUUGUAUUAUAGCAUCUUGAUGGGAUUGUUGUGUGGCUGAAAUUUCCUCCAAGCAUAUUGUAGCGGCAUCUUGAUUGCUAGAAGUUUUUUUGGAACUCAUGCUUGCAUAAGUUUCUCCACUCCUUAAUUGCAUAUGCCUUCAAGCCAAGAACCUUGGCUCUGAUACCAAAAUUAAUAUAGGACAACCCUAGGAUGGUUGCCUACACUUAAGGGUAGGUGGACUAAGGGUUUUUUUUUAGGGUGUAAGGAGAGGAACAAGGAAUAAAUUUUAUGGUAAAGAAAAUUAUAAGAUAAGAAAUAGAGAGAAAGAAGAAACAAUGAAGAAAAGAUGGAAAACCUUAGAGUCUCAUUAAGGCCUUCUAAGAGUCUCACCUAGAAGAAAAUCAAUGGAGUCUCACCAUUGAGGGUUGUAACCUUGCAAUGAAAGAAAAUAUAAUAUUAUUCAUAUCAAUUCAUUCAUUUGAUUUACAUUGAUUAGCCUAUUUAUAGGCUUCUCUAAGAAAUUCAAAGUCUACUAAGACUCUAAUAACCUAUUAUGAUUCUAAUUCUAAUUAUAACACCCAAAGUCUACUAGGACUCUAAUAACCUAUCAUGACUCAAAUUCUAAUUAUAUUAUAACUCAGUAGUUAAUCCUAAUUAGAUUCCAACAAAUACCAAUCCCAAUUCAAUUUUAAUUAAUAUUAAUUCUACUUAAAGUUUACUUAGGUCUUCACUUUUUUCCUUGAAUAAACUUUAAAAGGCUUUUCCCCAUUAUUGUGUCGUUGACAAUCGAAAAUGUCCAGCUAAUGGUAUACUUAUAGGUUUUGAAUUCUCUAAGGAAAACCUUUUCAAAACUUUUUCUAAGUAGCCCUUUUAUGGCAAAAACAAAGUACGUCCUCUCUGUUUCUUACAAUUUCCACCCUGAGUAUUCUUCUUGCUUUCCCAAGAUCCAUCAUAUCAAAUUAUGACUUUGGAAUCCUCUUCACCUCUUGAAUUUGUGACUUAUCUUUGCAAGCCAAUAAUGUAUCAUCAACAUAUAUUAGAAGAAACAUCAUCAGUCUUUCUUGUAAUUUCUUGUAAUAGAAGCAACCAUCAUAACUGCUCCUUUUGAAAUCAAUCUUUGGUAUAAAGGUAUCAAACCAUUUAUACCACUGUCUUGGGGAUUGUUUCAAUCACCAUAACUGCUCCUUUUCUGGCUCUUUAAAACCUUCAGGCUGAGUCAUUAGAAUUUUUUCUUUGAAGUCUCCAUGCAAAAAGACAGUUUUAACAUCCACUCCAAUUCCCAAUCAAGCUAAGCUACAAUGGACAUCAAUACUCUAAUUGAGGUAUGUUUCAACACUAGAGAGAACACUUCGGUGUAGUCAAUGCCCUCUCUCUUAGUAUACCCUCAAUCCACUAAUCUAGCUUUGAACCUUACUAGUUCAUUCUCAGUGGCACCUUGUUUCCGCUUGAAUAUCCAUUUACAACUUACCACUUUCUGAUUUGGCUUUCUUUCUAUAAGCACACAGGUCUGAUUUUUCUGUAAGGAUUCAAAUUCUUCAGUCAUUUUUGUGAGCCAUUUUAUUGAUUCAUUGCAGUUUAUAGCUUCUUGUUAAGAGAGUGGCUCACUCUCUUCAUACUCCAUAGUAGUCACUAGAGCAUAGGCAGUCAGAUCUGCAAAACCAAAUCUGGGGGUUUUAUGUUCCUCUUAGCCCUAUCCCUUGACAAGAGAUAAUCAGGACCUGCUUCUUGUGAGCUAGUGCCUGCACCACCUUCAACAUUUGAACCUGUCACCUUAGUAUCUUCUGUCUCUAGGCCACCAUGUGCUAAAUCUUUUUGUUAAUCAUGACCAUCCUGAGAUGAUAACUCCACUUCUAUCUCAAAAUGGUCUUUGUCAAGUGUCAAGCUCCUGUUUUUAGAAUCUUUCUCUGUACCUGCAGUGUUAGUCCUCAUGGAAAACAUUUCAUUUUCAUUAAACACAACAUCAUGGCUUAUUAUUAUUUUAACACUCAGAGAUUCCUUAUUCCACAGCCUAUAACCUUUGACACCCUCUGGAUAGCCUAAGAAGAUACAUUUUAUUGACCUUGGUUCUAAUUUUCUUUCCCUUUGGUGAACGUAAGCCGUGCAACUGAAGAUUCUAAGGUGAUCAUAGUUAGAAGGUUUUCCAACAAAGCUCUUUUGGAGUUUUAAAGUCUAUAGCACUAGAUGGAGUUCUAUUUACAAAAUAGCAAGCUGUCAUUAUAGCUUCACCCCAAAAAUGUUUAGAUAAACCAGAACUGUACAACAUACACGUCACUCUAUCUAACAAUGUUCUAUUCAUCCUCUCUGCUAGGUCAUUUUGUUGAGGUGUAUUUCUUACUGUUUUGCAUCUUAAGAUAACCUGAUAUUUACAAAACAUUUCAAAUUCCUCAUUACAAUACCCAAGUCCAUUAUCUAUCCUUAACACCUUUACUCUUUUAUUAGUUUGAUUUUCAAUCAAAGCCUUCCACUCCUCAAUCUUAGCUAAGGCAGUAUGUUCAUCUUUAAUUUUUAACAAGUAUAGCCAAACUUUUCUAAUCAUCAAUCAAGGAUAGAAAGUACCUGUUUCCACGGUGAGUAGAGACUUUUGCAGGCCCCCAUAAAUCUGAAUGCAUAUAUUCUAGUAUAUCCUUUGACUUGUGUGUUGCAGCUUUGAAUGUCAACCUAUGUUGUUUGCCAAAAAUACAGUACUGACAAAAAUCAAUCUUACUGAUGCUAUCCCCACACAACAGGCCCUGCUUGUGCAGUUCUUUUAGACCUCGAUCACUUAAGUGACCAAGUCUUCUAUUCCAAAGAACUGUUUUAUCAUUUCAAUUCUUAACACUGAUCCCAACAAACCUUUUGACGUGUGAUCUUCUAGGAUAUAUAAGCCAUUCCUCUUCAGAUCCUUCAUGACAACCAUAACACCUUUUGAAAUUGUUAAUUUCCCAUUUUCUGCUUUGAAGUUACAACCUGAUUCGUCCAAACUUCCAAGAGAUAUUAGAUUUCUCUUCAGGUCUGGUACAUGCCUGACCUCUUUGAGAGUUCUUGUCAUUCCAUCAAACAUGUUAAUAGCCACAGUACCAAUGCCAACCAUGCUGCAGUUCAUGUUGCUUCCCAGUAUCACCUUUCCACCAUUAACUUCUUGAUAGGAUGAAAACCAAUCUCUUCUUGGACACAUAUGAUAGGUGCAACCUGAGUCCAAGAUCCAUUCUUCAUGAUUUUGGUUCAAUGUAACAGUGAGUACCUCUACACUGUCAUAGCCAUCAUCUACAAUGGUAGCACUUCCUUGUACUUGAGUCUUUUCUUCUUCUUGUCGAUCUGGACAGAUUCUUCUCCCAUCUUGUUGCAAUGAUAACACUUGACAAUCCUAUAAUCUUUCUUACCUUUGGACUUUGAUCCUGAACAAGAUUUUCCUCUGUUUCCAUUGUUAUUUUUGUUCUGAGGUCUUCCUCUAACAGUUAAACUUUCACCACUGUUGGUUUUGUCAGAGGACUUCAUAUCCAACACCUUAGCAUUCAAGGCAUUCUGAACAUCAUCAAAUGUAAUGGCAUCUCUGCCAUAUUUCAGGGUUUCUUUAACAUGCUUCAAAGAUUUAGGUAGAGAGUUUAAGAGAAUGAUUGCCUUAUCUUCAUCCUCCAUCUUAAUGUCCAAACUCUCUAAAUCCAACACCAAUUUAUUAAACUCAUGUAAGGCAUACUGAAGUAUUAAUGACUGAAUAUUGUUUCACUGUUGCAGAAUAAUGCUAAUGUAGCUGAAUUGCUGAAUAAAGUCUUAACACAAACUUAUGAGUUGGCUGAAGAAUGUGUAAAGACAAACUACUAAAGCACCAAAGCAGUGACUGAGGCCCUUGUUCCAUGACUCCUGCUAUCAAAUUCCGGCAGAAUUGUGAAUGUGUCUGCAGGUCUUGGAAAGCUUGAGGUAUGUAAAUGCAAUUGCAACUUCAAGGGAAAAUUCUAAAACCAAAUUCAAAGUUUAUAAUGCAUUAGUGAUAUCUAGUAUUUCCAUUAAUCAUGAGACUAUUCUUGAGUUCUUCCUUAUUUUAUCAGUUUGUCUCCAAUGAAAAGGUUAGAAUGGAGCUAAAUGAUGUUGAUGUACUCUCGGUAGAGAGAUUGGAUGGGAUAGUAAUGAAUUCCUCAACGAUGUUAAGGACAUGUUACAUGACAAAGGCUGGCCAACUCAGACAUCUGCAUAUAUAAUCUCCAAAGCAGCCAUGAAUGCGUACACAAGGAUUGUUGUCAAAUCAUACCCAAGUCUCCUCAUAAAUUGAUAUUUGUCCUGGUUUUGUCAAAACUGAUAUGACUUCCAACACUGGUCUCUUUACUGUUGAAGUGGGUGCCAAAGGCCCUGUUAUGUUGGCUUUGCUUCCAAAGGCAGGACCUUCUGGCCUCUUUUUUGAAAAGAUGGAGGCAUCAACCUUUUGAUCAUAAGUCAGUUACAGGAAUGAGUUGGUUUUCUGCUUUAUGUAUUUCCUAUGGUUGUAUUUGUAAGGUUAUCCAACUUUUCCUAUUGCUUUGCUGAGACAAUGGUGUGAUAGAUGUGAAGGUUCUCUUGUAUUCAGUGUUAUAAUUAUGAACUUUAUAGCUCUGUUUGUGAUAAUUGAUAAUCCUUUUAAAAGUAGGAACUAGGAAACCAGUCUUAUUUCUUACUUUAGAAUGUUAUGUAUUAUUCAUCUCAUUAUAUGCAAAUUAAUUCUUAUUUAAUAAAGAAAUUCAUCGGGAUAGGACAUGGGAUUGGAAGCUCAAUCUGAACUGGCAUUCAGGUAUUUCAUCUAAUUUCUUCAAUGGUUAUCCGCUCUUGUUAGAAAUCGUUCAGUUCUCCACAUUUCUAUCACGCACAACUUGUUUCUCUCUUCUGGCUUGAGGAGGUAGAGGACAAAGUAGCUGAAUCAUUACCAAAAGCUCAUGAUGCCAACAAACUUUGCAAACCCAACAGAAGACGUCCUGCGAGAGGUCAAUGUAGUCACAAGAAUCUACAAUACCUCAAUAGAAUAUUUAUACAAACAUAUGGCAUUUUCGGCAUUUUUGCAGCAAUGGGAUAUUCUACUGCAUGCCAACAGGUUGAAGAAAAAGAGACAGUUGAAACUAAAAGGAUGGUUUACCCAUGUACUAUUAUAGCAAUUGACAUGGACUCAGAAAUCCUUUUGACAUGCCAUAAUUCAAUAUUUUCAUUCCUAAAGAAGCAUUUUUUUCUUAUUUGCCAUCUCUUACCAUAAUAAAUGAAUGUCGACCUAUCCUUAAAAGCCAAAAUGUGAUAUCUGCAUUGUUAGUCCUCAAACAUAUUCUGACACCUCAUGCUCUUGUCAACUUCUUGCACCUAUUCAACUAAUGCUAAAAGUGAAAAACAUGUCUUCCAUUCCCUUUGCUCAGGCGUUGUUUGAGGAGGCAAUCUUGUAGGUUCAAAUCACAGCAGAGGGAACCUAACGGGGACUUGUUUGAGAUAGAAGAUGCUAAAUUUCCAGUUGAUUGGCAUGAAGGUGGACUGGCUCCAUCUAAUUCACCGAUCAAAAAAGAAGAGGGAGAUGAAAGUUGGGUUGAAAAACAUGAAGUUCGAGGAUCACAGAGAUCAUCAGUGGGAAGACCUUUGCUCAGAGCUGCUGAGAAGGUCCAAUCCUAUAAGGAGGCUCCACUUAAUACCCAAAUGAGGAGAUUUGAGUGAAUAGAUUCUAAUUUGUACCAAGUUAUAACCUUUCAUAUAGUGAGGAGUUGAGCAAGAGCCAGUCAAGUCCUGAGGAAUACUAAAGUUUUAAUGACCAUGGAGUAUCUUGUUUGAUGAGUAAAUUUUAACAGAUGAUAAUGCCUACUUAUGAGAGAUGUAGAUUUCACAACAUUGACUUGCAUGGUUGGGAAAUUAUUCAGUUUUUACUUUUUAGGUAUUUUAUCCUUACAAGUCAGGUCGGAUCAGGUCAGGUCAGAUGUUUGAGGUUACAUUAUAUGGCCCAGAACCCGUAUUCCGGAAACUUGCAGAUGCGGAAAUAGGGCUAGUCAGCAGAAGAACUCGAACAAAUUUUACUACAAACAAAGGGGUCUGGUUUACUAGGGCCGUCAAUUACAGACUCCCGCUAUGGCUAUAAAUGAUAUCAGAUUAUUUUCAUUUUUCUAUUAGGAAAUAAAUCCUAAUUAUUUUGUAUUUUUGGUUUUUUGGUCAAGAAAUGUCGUGGGAGAUGGUGAAACUUAGAUGAUGUUUGUUUUUUUACUUAAUUCUAAAUAGAACUUUAAUGUUUAAUAAUGUUAUGCGUUAGAUUGUUUUUAUAAUAUGUUAUUUCUAUUAAAUAUUAAAAAAUAAGAAAAAAGAAAACCAACAUGUUACUUUUCCAUUUAGAAAAAGCCAAAAUAUUUUAUUUUUUCUAUUCAACAAAAAGUUUAUAAUAAUUUAUGAAAAUGUAGAAAAACAAAUAACUUAAAGUCUGAAAACAAAUUACUUUUGGUAAAAAGUUAAAAAAACAAACACCCUCUUAGGUGAUGUUUAUUUUUUUUACUUAAUUUUAAAUAGAACCUUAAUGUUUAAUAAUGUUAAAUAUUAGGUUGUUUGUUUUUAUAGUAUUUUAUUUCUAUUAAGUAUUAAAAAGUAAAUAAAAACUAAUAUGUUAUUUUUUUUAUUUAGAAAAAACUAUAUAUUUUGACUUUUUAUUUUUAAUAAAAAGUUUAUAAUAAAUUAUGAAAAGAUAGAAAAACAAACAACUUAAAAUCUGAAAACAAAUUACUUUCAGCAAAAAGCCAAAAAAACAAACACCAUCUUAGUUUUUUUUUUUAUAAUUUUAAGCAUUUGACUUGAAUUAUUAUGCUAAAAAAUCUUUAAUAAGAGAAAAACUUGUGAAAACCUAAAUGGAAUAUCCAAAUUGCAUGGUGAAAAUCCUAUAAAAACCAAGAUUUUGUGCAUACCUAUAUAAAGAUGACCAUGUCCAAAGAAGUCCAUAAAAAAUGACGUUAGAGUUGGCAUUGAUCUUGUCAACAUAUGUAACUUUAAUAUAUCUUAUAUUAAGCUUAUAUAGCAAUCAUCAUCAAGUGAAAUUAAUUAGAAAUGAUAUAAAAUUGAUGAACAAAUAACUAUUCAAAGGUGAAUUGAAUAUUGUAUUGGUUGAUUUUGGAGAAGGGUGAGAAUCACCAUGUGCUGGAGAUCACCAUUUACAAGGUGUGCAUGAGAAUCGCUAUGUGCUGGAGAUCGCCAUUUACAAGGUGUGCCUUACAAAGAACCUGGAGAAAUGUUCAGCUGAGCCUGACUUUCCUCAUCUGAUUCAAAAGAAGAUAGCUUCGACCAUCUCAGAUUCAGCAACAAUGAGGUAUAUAGGCUUUUUUUUAGCUACAACUUGUAAACCACAACUAAUAGCUGUUGAGAAUAAUGCAUCUACAUAUUCUUAAUUACUAUUUAUUUUUUAUUUUCAGAUGUGCAGUUGUAACUGGAGCAAAUAAAGGAAUUGGACUAGAGAUAUGCAGACAGUUAGCUUCUAAUGGAGUCAUGGUGGUAUUAACAGCUAGAGAUGAGAAGAGGGGUCUUGAAGCUGUGGCAAAGCUUCAUGAAUCUAGCCUGUCUAAUGUAGUUUUUCAUCGGCUUGAUGUGAUGGAUGCCAAGAGUAUCACUACCUUGGCAAAAUUCAUUGU